RNAcentral lists this ribosomal RNA (374 nucleotides) under Acanthamoeba sp. RNAcentral's name for it is "SSU rRNA". It matches the Rfam family "Eukaryotic small subunit ribosomal RNA", at positions 804 to 1090 of the family's 1831-position model. The record is from RNAcentral. Lineage: Eukaryota; Discosea; Longamoebia; Acanthamoebidae.
UUAGCAUGGGAUAAUGGAAUAGGACCCUGUCCUCCUAUUUUCAGUUGGUUUUGCACGCGAGGACCAGGGUAAUGAUUAAUAGGGAUAGUUGGGGGCAUUAAUAUUUAAUUGUCAGAGGUGAAAUUCUUGGAUUUAUGAAAGAUUAACUUCUGCGAAAGCAUCUGCCAAGGAUGUUUUCAUUAAUCAAGAACGAAAGUUAGGGGAUCGAAGACGAUCAGAUACCGUCGUAGUCUUAACCAUAAACGAUGCCGACCAGCGAUUAGGAGACGUUGAAUACAAAACACCACCAUCGGCGCGGUCGUCCCUGGCGUCGCGCAAGCGGCGCGGGGGCGGCUUAGCCCGAUGGCACCGGUGAAUGACUCCCUAGCAGCUUG